UUCAUGGAGAGUUUGAUCCUGGCUCAGGACGAACGCUGGCGGCGUGCCUAAUACAUGCAAGUCGAGCGGACAGAUGGGAGCUUGCUCCCUGAUGUCAGCGGCGGACGGGUGAGUAACACGUGGGUAACCUGCCUGUAAGACUGGGAUAA
RNAcentral lists this ribosomal RNA (149 nucleotides) under Bacillus paralicheniformis. RNAcentral describes it as "partial 16S ribosomal RNA". It matches the Rfam family "Bacterial small subunit ribosomal RNA", at positions 1 to 146 of the family's 1533-position model. The record is from RNAcentral. Lineage: Bacteria; Bacillati; Bacillota; Bacilli; Caryophanales; Bacillaceae.